UUUUACAAUGGAGAGUUUGAUCCUGGCUCAGGAUGAACGCUAGCUACAGGCUUAACACAUGCAAGUCGAGGGGAAACGGCAUUGAGUGCUUGCACUCUUUGGACGUCGACCGGCGCACGGGUGAGUAACGCGUAUCCAACCUUCCCAUGACUAAGGGAUAACCUGCCGAAAGGCAGACUAAUACCGCAUAGUCUUCGAUGACGGCAUCAGAUGUGAAGUAAAGAUUUAUCGGUAAUGGAUGGGGAUGCGUCUGAUU
RNAcentral lists this ribosomal RNA (256 nucleotides) under Prevotella sp. Its description in RNAcentral is "partial 16S ribosomal RNA". It matches the Rfam family "Bacterial small subunit ribosomal RNA", at positions 1 to 242 of the family's 1533-position model. The record is from RNAcentral. Lineage: Bacteria; Pseudomonadati; Bacteroidota; Bacteroidia; Bacteroidales; Prevotellaceae.